GAGGGUGUAGCUCAGUGGUAGAGCACAUGCUUAGCAUGCACAAGGUCCUGGGUUCAAUCUCCAGUCUCUCCA
This 72-nucleotide transfer RNA is filed under the name Camelus bactrianus (Bactrian camel). It matches the Rfam family "tRNA". From Rfam's summary of the family: Transfer RNA (tRNA) molecules are approximately 80 nucleotides in length. The record is from Rfam by way of RNAcentral. Lineage: Eukaryota; Metazoa; Chordata; Mammalia; Artiodactyla; Camelidae. RNAcentral also lists the same sequence under 2 other names.